AACGUCUUUUGGACGCUGGA
RNAcentral lists this small nuclear RNA (20 nucleotides) under Arabidopsis thaliana (thale cress). Its description in RNAcentral is "snRNA_15554". Lineage: Eukaryota; Viridiplantae; Streptophyta; Magnoliopsida; Brassicales; Brassicaceae. The record is from RNAcentral.